AGUGAACGCUGGCGGUAGGCCUAACACAUGCAAGUCGAACGGCAGCACAGUAAGAGCUUGCUCUUACGGGUGGCGAGUGGCGGACGGGUGAGGAAUACAUCGGAAUCUACUUUUUCGUGGGGGAUAACGUAGGGAAACUUACGCUAAUACCGCAUACGAUCUACGGGUGAAAGCAGGGGAUCUUCGGACCUUGCGCGAUUGAAUGAGCCGAUGUCGGAUUAGUUAGUUGGCGGGGUAAAGGCCCACCAUGGCGACGAUCCGUAGCUGGUCUGAGAGGAUGAUCAGCCACACUGGAACUGAGACACGGUCCAGAGUCCUACGGGAGGCAGCAGUGGGGGAUAUUGGACAAUGGGCGCAAGCCUGAUCCAGCCAUACCGCGUGGGGGAAGAAGGCCUUCGGGUUGGAAAGCCCUUUUGUUGGGAAAGAAAAGCAGCAGGUUAAUACCCCGCUGUUCUGACGGUACCCAAAGAAUAAGCACCGGCUAACUUCGUG
Molecule: ribosomal RNA, 492 nt
Filed under: uncultured bacterium
Lineage: Bacteria
Description: partial 16S ribosomal RNA
Rfam family: Bacterial small subunit ribosomal RNA
Source: RNAcentral